RNAcentral lists this ribosomal RNA (292 nucleotides) under Rhizobiaceae bacterium. Its description in RNAcentral is "partial 16S ribosomal RNA". It matches the Rfam family "Bacterial small subunit ribosomal RNA", at positions 1 to 285 of the family's 1533-position model. The record is from RNAcentral. Lineage: Bacteria; Pseudomonadati; Pseudomonadota; Alphaproteobacteria; Hyphomicrobiales; Rhizobiaceae.
CAACUGGAGAGUUUGAUCCUGGCUCAGAACGAACGCUGGCGGCGUGCUUAACACAUGCAAGUCGAGCGAGAAAGGGAGCUUCGGCUCCUGAGUAAAGCGGCGCACGGGUGAGUAACACGUGGGUAACCUGCCUUUCAGUGGGGGAUAACAGCUCGAAAGGGCUGCUAAUACCGCAUGCGUCCUGUGUGGCCUUGGCCGUGCAGGGGAAAGAGGCGCAAGUCUCGCUGGAAGAUGGGCCCGCGGUCCAUUAGCUUGUUGGUGGGGUGAUGGCCUACCAAGGCGACGAUGGAUA